AGUGAACGCUGGCGGUAGGCCUAACACAUGCAAGUCGAACGGCAGCACAGUAAGAGCUUGCUCUUACGGGUGGCGAGUGGCGGACGGGUGAGGAAUACAUCGGAAUCUACUUUUUCGUGGGGGAUAACGUAGGGAAACUUACGCUAAUACCGCAUACGACCUACGGGUGAAAGCAGGGGAUCUUCGGACCUUGCGCGAUUGAAUGAGCCGAUGUCGGAUUAGCUAGUUGGCGGGGUAAAGGCCCACCAAGGCGACGAUCCGUAGCUGGUCUGAGAGGAUGAACCGGCAAAAUGGAACUGAGGCACGGGCCAGAAUCCUAAGGGAGGGAGCAGUGGGGAAUAUUGGAACAAGGGCGGAAGGCUGAUCCAGCCAUAACGCGUGGGUGAAGGAGGCCUUCGGGUUGUAAAGCCCUUUUGUUGGGAAAGAAAAGCAGGAGGGUAAAACCCCGCUGUUCUGACGGUAACCAAAGAAUAAGCAACGGCUAAAUUCGUG
This 492-nucleotide ribosomal RNA is filed under the name uncultured bacterium. RNAcentral describes it as "partial 16S ribosomal RNA". It matches the Rfam family "Bacterial small subunit ribosomal RNA", at positions 29 to 507 of the family's 1533-position model. The record is from RNAcentral.